CCCUGUGCCCGCGACUUAUUCUGAAAAACCAAAUGUCCCUUCUGUAUCGGUGGCGCCAAAUCCACCUCCUGGCGGCAAUUUACCCGCGCCAAUUUUCAUUGACGCGCGAAAUCUUGGCACCGCGCCGAAUGCCGAAUCCCUCUCGUGGCGCGCCCAAUCUCUCAUCAAAUAUCUCCUAGUGCCAAUGAUCUCCCCCACCCCUUCACCUCCCCUGAAUCCACGCAAGUAAUAGGCAGAGGAUUGAGGAACCAGUACAGAACUCCAGGGCCAAGCCAGCGCCCGCCGCCUAGGAGAGCGUCGAGCCCGGUGGCCGGCAGGAGGGCGGGGCGCCUGCAGCAGCACGGCCGUGAGGCAUGGAGACCCCGGCAGCCGGCGGGAGCGGCGCUGCUCCAGGGCGGCCGACUGGACAACGGGGCACGGUGGCUGCGGCCGCGAGGCAUAGAGCAGGCUGCUCCGCGGCAGCCGAUCCGACAGGAGUCUGGACAACGGCUUGGGCGAAGCCAGCCAUGGAGCGACCUGGCUGGAUUUCUCGGCAGAGCUGGAGACCUGGGGGGCAGCGGUAAGCAGGCAGGAUGUUAGGACUACCUCGAUGGCCAAUGGUGGGAAGCACAGCAGGCGGUAGUAAGCGGUGAUUUUUUGUUUCCUUCUGUGUCGAUCUGUUGCACAUAAAUCAAAUUUCACACUUUUCUGGUUGCUUAAACUUACUGUAUGAAUCUGCAACUAUUAAUGUUAUGAAAAUUUAUUUAUUAUUUGUUUGAAACAUUCCUUAAAUGUUGAUUUUGUAGGUUAAGACUUUAUCUCACCGAUACGAAAUUCUUGAAUUUUUACCUGACCAAUGUCUCUUGAACUGAAUGUUAUGAUGGACUAUAGACUAUAAAUAUUUUCUGACAUGUUGGACAUAUCCAAUAUAUGCAUAAUACUGUACUAAGUACUGAAUAUGCCCAAAGUAUAUAAAAUUGAAUGGUUACAUGGACAUAACGACUGGCAGUAUUUACUAAGCACAGACAUAUCGAGGUCUGAAUGAGCAUAUUUAUCUAGUGUCCAUGUUUCACCUUCGUAAUUGGGAUCUUUUUAAUAUUCACUUUGUUCUAAAGUAUGUCAAUGUGAGGACAUAUAUUUCCUUGUAUACAUGUAUCCUUACUGAUGAUUAAUUUAUGACUUCAUCAGCAGGGAAAAUAUAUGGUUGCUAGUUUUCUAAGCAGUCACUGUUGUGCUUGUUCUUAAGUAUGCUGUUACAGUAGUCUACAGAACUAUUUGGUGAUGAUUCCACUCCUUAUGCGCAUACUAUACAUGUAAACUUUUGAUGGUCAUGCCUUGUCUUAAAAGGUAGAUAUUUGUCAUGGAAGCACUUGUUUCAUCUUUUCUACGGCAUUGGUGUGUUUGUUCUGUUUGCAGAUUUUUUUAGUAAUGAAAACCACUGUGGAUGUUGUUAGUUUAAUUUUAAACACUAAUCUUGAGAUCACCCUUCUCUCUGAAGAUGUUGAUUUUGUUUGCAGGCAUCAGAAGUGAGCCUAAAUUUAUGUUUCUGUCUGGAGGCAUGUUCUUGAUAAGAACGAACACAUUGAUGGUUUUUGUGUUUUUCAUACUAUUUUUCAAUCUAUUGCUAUAUAGUAUAUGAAUCCAUAUUUUCUAGCAUUACAGAUAUCCAUAUUUUCUCAAAAGCUCUGUUAUGUUUCCUAAAAAUUGUUUUUUAUUGCGAUAUCUAUAUCCAUGUCAACUGAACAAUAACUAGGUUUUCAUUCAGGACUAAAUAUAUAUACUAGUUUGUUGCAUACUAUUUUUUAGCUAGAUAUAAUAGCUGCACUGGCAUUGUUGAAAUAAUAUCUGUUAAAAUAAUUAGUUUUUUAUUUCAGUAUUGGGUAUAUAUUUGGGGCAAGGCACCUUGCAAGUGCAUCAUUGCUCGUUCAUGUAAAUUGUUGUUUUAGAUUUGUAAAAAAAUAGUACUUUUUAGUGAGUCACAAAAGAAUUUAUUUGUAUUAUUAUCCAACAUUCGGUAUUAUAUUCUAAAACAUGUAUUUUAAUGCAUUGUUGGUUCACUUUAACUUUUUAGUACAAAUUUAAAUGCGCAGAAGAUCCAAUUCAACAUAAUCAAUGGUUGAAAUAACAUUCUAAAAUUUGAAUUAUUAUUCAGUGUAACAUUAUGGAGUUGCAAGGAUUCAAGGAUCUCUGUCAUGAAGUUAUUUAAUGCAAUAUUUGUCAAAUGUCAUGCUCAGCUUUUUAUCUGUUGUGAAGUCACAUAAUUUCUUUUCACUUGUCCAAAGCAGUUAAUGGCUUAAAAAUUGUAAUAGUUAGUUCUGUUGCAGAUUGCCUAUUUUUGUGUUACAUGCAUGUGUUUACAGCAUCAA
Oryza sativa Japonica Group (Japanese rice) is the source of this 2345-nucleotide long non-coding RNA. RefSeq lists it as uncharacterized. The record is from RefSeq and is a predicted model, not a curated record. NCBI's taxonomy places the organism in Eukaryota, Viridiplantae, Streptophyta, Magnoliopsida, Poales, Poaceae.